GUGAAAUACUACAAUUUGAUUCCAAUUUUAAACUACAAUCAUCAAUUUUGAUGACUAAACCGAUAAGGUAACCACCCAUAUGAAGGAACAUGUGCAGGGGAGGCCUCUACCCAUGAGACAAACAUGGAGUGAUUAAGCAAGAAUCUCCAUUUACAUGUGAUAUUGCUAUAUUUACACAAAUUUACAUAACUACCAGUAGCAACACACCCUGAGAACACGUAUCAGAUAUGUCAGUCAAAGACACAUCAGAUAACUGUCCCUUCCCCCUUCUCUCUUAAUCAUAUGUGUUCUAUUAAGCAUUUUUAAUUACUUUAUUUAAUCACAAGUAUCAAUUUAAUUGUAAGUAUUGAUUUAAUUAUAAGUACUAAAAUUCAAGCAACCUUUCUUUCUGUUAAAAAAGCUGAUUCUUUGCUUAACCAUUUAGCAUAUUUUUUAAUAAAAUUGUUUUAUAUUUCAAUUUUGACAUUUAAAAAAAAAUCUCAAAAAUCUCUUUUUUAUAAGACUAUAAUGGCAAUACGUUUUGAUUUUUACGGACACUGAAUCUGAUCGAAUCUCAAUAGAACGAGUUUA
RNAcentral lists this unclassified non-coding RNA (570 nucleotides) under Hevea brasiliensis (rubber tree). Lineage: Eukaryota; Viridiplantae; Streptophyta; Magnoliopsida; Malpighiales; Euphorbiaceae. The record is from RNAcentral.